RNAcentral lists this ribosomal RNA (394 nucleotides) under Pterocystida sp. RNAcentral describes it as "partial small subunit ribosomal RNA". It matches the Rfam family "Eukaryotic small subunit ribosomal RNA", at positions 582 to 975 of the family's 1831-position model. The record is from RNAcentral. Lineage: Eukaryota; Centroplasthelida; Pterocystida.
AUUCCAGCUCCAAUAGCGUAUAUUAAAGUUGUUGCAGUUAAAAAGCUCGUAGUCUGACCGUUGUCCUGGCAUUGAGCGUCCGUGGUUACUGAUCAUGUGUACGCGAGGUGCUGGACACUACCUUCGGAGGAGCGUUCGUGCUUUUAACUAAGUGCGUGCGGGAUUCCGAUAGUUUACUUUGAGAAAAAUAGAGUGUUCAAAGCAGGCGUUUGCCUUGAAUACAUUAGCAUGGGAUAAUGAAAUAGGACGUUGGUUCUAUUUUGAUGGUUUACGGACCGACGUAAUGAUUAAUAGGGACAGUUGGGGACAUUUAUAUUCCAUGGCUAGAGGUGAAAUUCUUGGAUUCAUGGAAGAUAAACUACUGCGAAAGCAUUUGUCAAAGAUGUUUUCAUCA